This 423-nucleotide small RNA is filed under the name Arabidopsis thaliana (thale cress). RNAcentral describes it as "ATSL124600". The record is from RNAcentral. Lineage: Eukaryota; Viridiplantae; Streptophyta; Magnoliopsida; Brassicales; Brassicaceae.
GGAAUUGGAUCAGCCGGUAUGACGUGGCGGAGACAAAUCGCGUUUGGUCGAUCGCAGUUGUUGCAGAUCUGUUGGCGACGAUGCGCAUCUGGCUCGCUCCUCCAUCGUCACUGCUCUGUCCCGCGAGCGAAUCCGAGAUUAAUGGAAAUGUCGAUACGUCGUCGUUUGGUAUAUUAGUGGUAUUGCAUCGUUUUAACUAAGGUUGUGAAUGGUGACCAAAACCGCACUCAAAACCGCACCGCAACAGUGCUGUAACAGUAUCAAAAUCUCUACAUAUACAUAUGUAUCUAUGUAUUUUCGUAACUAUUUGAACCAUACCGCACUUCUCCCGCACCGCAAAACGCAGUCACCAUUCAGAGCCUAAGUUGUGAACGACGUCGUUUGCGCUAUUAGCAACUAUGAUGCCAAGUGUUGGAAAGAAUG